CGGAGGGAUCAUUACAGAGCUGCAAAACUCCCUAAACCAUCGUGAACGCUACCUAAACCGUUGCUUCGGCGGGCGGCGCCCUCGCGCGCCCCCCCUGGGGCCCGCACCGCGGGCGCCCGCCGGAGGUACACCAAACUCUUGAUAUGUUAUGGCCACUCUGAGUCUCCUGUACUGAAUAAGUCAAAACUUUCAACAACGGAUCUCUUGGUUCUGGCAUCGAUGAAAAACGCAGCGAAAUGCGAUAAGUAAUGUGAAUUGCAGAAUUCAGUGAAUCAUCGAAUCUUUGAACGCACAUUGCGCCCGCCAGCAUCCUGGCGGGCAUGCCUGUUCGAGCGUCAUUUCAACCCAUCAAGCCCACGGCUUGUGUUGGGGACCUGCGGCUGCCCGCAGGCCCUGAAAACCAGUGGCGGGCUCGCUAGUCACACCGGGCGUAGUAGCAUACGACCUCGCUCAGGGCGUGCUGCGGGUUCCAGCCGUAAAACGACCUUCACAACCCAAGGUUGACCUCGGAUCAGGUAGGAGGACCCGCUGAACUUAAGCAUAUCAAUAAGACGGAGGAA
RNAcentral lists this ribosomal RNA (560 nucleotides) under Thermothelomyces thermophilus. Its description in RNAcentral is "eukaryotic LSU rRNA". The stretch from base 185 to 338 matches the Rfam family "5.8S ribosomal RNA". Lineage: Eukaryota; Fungi; Ascomycota; Sordariomycetes; Sordariales; Chaetomiaceae. The record is from RNAcentral.